This 387-nucleotide ribosomal RNA is filed under the name uncultured bacterium. RNAcentral's name for it is "bacterial SSU rRNA". It matches the Rfam family "Bacterial small subunit ribosomal RNA", at positions 28 to 417 of the family's 1533-position model. The record is from RNAcentral.
GACGAACGCUGGCGGCGUGCUUAACACAUGCAAGUCGAGCGGUAAGGCCCUUCGGGGUACACGAGCGGCGAACGGGUGAGUAACACGUGGGUGACCUGCCUCUAGCUCUGGGAUAAGCCUGGGAAACUGGGUCUAAUACCGGAUAUGACUCCACGGCGCAUGUUGUGGGGUGGAAAGCCUUGUGUGGCUAGAGAUGGGCCCGCGGCCUAUCAGCUUGUUGGUGGGGUGAUGGCCUACCAAGGCGACGACGGGUAGCCGGCCUGAGAGGGCGACCGGCCACACUGGGACUGAGACACGGCCCAGACUCCUACGGGAGGCAGCAGUGGGGAAUCUUGCGCAAUGGGCGAAAAGCCUGACGCAGCGACGCCGCGUGAGGGAUGACGGCCU